GUGGGGAAUAUUGCACAAUGGGCGCAAGCCUGAUGCAGCGACGCCGCGUGAGGGAUGACGGCCUUCGGGUUGUAAACCUCUUUCAGCAGGGAAGAAGCGCAAGUGACGGUACCUGCAGAAGAAGCGCCGGCUAACUACGUGCCAGCAGCCGCGGUAAUACGUAGGGCGCAAGCGUUGUCCGGAAUUAUUGGGCGUAAAGAGCUCGUAGGCGGUCUGUCGCGUCUGGUGUGAAAUCCCGAGGCUCAACCUCGGGCUUGCAUCGGGUACGGGCAGACUAGAGUGCGGUAGGGGAGACUGGAAUUCCUGGUGUAGCGGUGGAAUGCGCAGAUAUCAGGAGGAACACCGAUGGCGAAGGCAGGUCUCUGGGCCGCAACUGACGCUGAGGAGCGAAAGCAUGGGGAGCGAACAGGAUUAGAAACCCUUGUAGUCC
Molecule: ribosomal RNA, 430 nt
Filed under: uncultured bacterium
Lineage: Bacteria
Description: bacterial SSU rRNA
Rfam family: Bacterial small subunit ribosomal RNA
Source: RNAcentral